AUUGAACGCUGGCGGCAGGCCUAACACAUGCAAGUCGAGCGAGCGGCGGACGGGUGAGUAAUGUAUGGGGACUGCCCGAUAGAGGGGGAUAACUACUGGAAACGGUAGCUAAUACCGCAUACUAUCGGAUAACCCAUAUGGGAUUAGCUAGUAGGUGAGGUAAUGGCGAACCUAGGCGACGAACCCAAGCUGGUAUGAGAGGACGAUCAGCCACAUGGGGACUGAGACACGGCCCAGACUCCUACGGAGGCAGCAGUGGGGAAGAGUGCACAAUGGGCGCAAGCCUGAUGCAGCCAUGCCGCGUGUAUGAAGAAGGCCCUAGGGUUGUAAAGUACUUUCAGGCGGGAGGCGUUACCGACAGAAGAAGCACCGGCUAACUCCGUGCCAGCAGCCGCGGUAAUAC
This 403-nucleotide ribosomal RNA is filed under the name uncultured bacterium. RNAcentral describes it as "partial 16S ribosomal RNA". It matches the Rfam family "Bacterial small subunit ribosomal RNA", at positions 29 to 526 of the family's 1533-position model. The record is from RNAcentral.